RNAcentral lists this transfer RNA (72 nucleotides) under Ictidomys tridecemlineatus (thirteen-lined ground squirrel). Its description in RNAcentral is "Spermophilus tridecemlineatus (thirteen-lined ground squirrel) tRNA". It matches the Rfam family "tRNA". Rfam says of the family: Transfer RNA (tRNA) molecules are approximately 80 nucleotides in length. Their secondary structure includes four short double-helical elements and three loops (D, anti-codon, and T loops). Further hydrogen bonds mediate the characteristic L-shaped molecular structure. tRNAs have two regions of fundamental functional importance: the anti-codon, which is responsible for specific mRNA codon recognition, and the 3' end, to which the tRNAs corresponding amino acid is attached (by aminoacyl-tRNA synthetases). tRNAs cope with the degeneracy of the genetic code in two manners: having more than one tRNA (with a specific anti-codon) for a particular amino acid; and 'wobble' base-pairing, i.e. permitting non-standard base-pairing at the 3rd anti-codon position. Lineage: Eukaryota; Metazoa; Chordata; Mammalia; Rodentia; Sciuridae. The record is from Rfam by way of RNAcentral.
UGGGAUGUAGUUUCGUGGUAGUGCCCUUGCCUAACAUGCAAGAGGCCUUGGGUUCUAUUCCCAGCACUACAA